UCCCAUGUGGCUCAGUUGGUAGAGCUUGGUGUUUGCAAUGCCAGGGUUGUGGGUUCGAUUCCCACGGGGGAC
Molecule: transfer RNA, 72 nt
Filed under: Salmo salar (Atlantic salmon)
Lineage: Eukaryota; Metazoa; Chordata; Actinopteri; Salmoniformes; Salmonidae
Rfam family: tRNA
About the family: Transfer RNA (tRNA) molecules are approximately 80 nucleotides in length.
Source: Rfam by way of RNAcentral